GACAGAGGGUGCAAACGUUGCUCGGAAUCACUGGGCGUAAAGGGCGUGUAGGCGGGAAGGAAAGUCAGAUGUGAAAUCCCCAGGCUCAACCUGGGAACUGCAUUUGAAACUCCCUUUCUUGAGUGUCGGAGAGGAAAGCGGAAUUCCUGGUGUAGAGGUGAAAUUCGUAGAUAUCGGGAGGAACACCUGUGGCGAAGGCGGCCUUCUGGACGGUUACUGACGCUGAGACGCGAAAGCGUGGGGAGCAAACAGG
RNAcentral lists this ribosomal RNA (253 nucleotides) under uncultured bacterium. RNAcentral's name for it is "partial 16S ribosomal RNA". It matches the Rfam family "Bacterial small subunit ribosomal RNA", at positions 524 to 776 of the family's 1533-position model. The record is from RNAcentral.